Molecule: ribosomal RNA, 509 nt
Filed under: Paenibacillus sp. C2PN11
Lineage: Bacteria; Bacillati; Bacillota; Bacilli; Caryophanales; Paenibacillaceae
Description: bacterial SSU rRNA
Rfam family: Bacterial small subunit ribosomal RNA
Source: RNAcentral
GCUCAGGACGAACGCUGGCGGCGUGCCUAAUACAUGCAAGUCGAGCGGAGUUGAAGAGAAGCUUGCUUCUCUGAUACUUAGCGGCGGACGGGUGAGUAACACGUAGGUAACCUGCCUAUAAGACUGGGAUAACAUUCGGAAACGGAUGCUAAUACCGGAUAUGCAUUUUGAUCGCAUGAUCGGAAUGGGAAAGACGGAGCAAUCUGUCACUUAUAGAUGGACCUGCGGCGCAUUAGCUAGUUGGUGAGGUAAUGGCUCACCAAGGCGACGAUGCGUAGCCGACCUGAGAGGGUGAUCGGCCACACUGGGACUGAGACACGGCCCAGACUCCUACGGGAGGCAGCAGUAGGGAAUCUUCCGCAAUGGACGAAAGUCUGACGGAGCAACGCCGCGUGAGUGAUGAAGGUUUUCGGAUCGUAAAGCUCUGUUGCCAGGGAAGAACGCUAUGGAGAGUAACUGCUCCAUAGGUGACGGUACCUGAGAAGAAAGCCCCGGCUACUACNCGNGUA